Megachile rotundata (alfalfa leafcutting bee) is the source of this 1421-nucleotide long non-coding RNA. The record is from RefSeq and is a predicted model, not a curated record. NCBI's taxonomy places the organism in Eukaryota, Metazoa, Arthropoda, Insecta, Hymenoptera, Megachilidae.
CCCCCGCAAGAAGUUUCCUUUGACAGUGUGACACUUAAAAAAUUGUAUUUUUGUGUAAUAUCAGUGAAAACGAGUGUAAAUUAAUGUUAAUCGUGUUUUAAUACUGUAGUUUAUUAGUUUUACUUGAAGUAAUAACACGAAGAACAGAAAUAAACGAAAAUAAUGAACUUUCCGAAUUAUGCUGUUCGUGCGUAGAACACUUUGCUGUAGCUGUUUGGUCGUGUCGACUGACGAAGAAAAGCAGCAUCUUGCAGUCGCAUUUAAAAGAAGAGUCUUCCGAGACGUCCUCAGCUUCUCGGAAUCGAUUCAACGUCGCGAGAUUAACAUAACAAACGAGAACGCGUAGGAAUAUCAGCAAAGCAUCCGACAAGACGAUUAAGUGAGCAUGCAAACGGAUAGAAGAGGAUUGAAGAAGAACCAAAAAAGACAGAGCAAGAUAUCGUUCAGAGAGCACCUGAAGAGGCUCUUCAUCUUCAUAGAAGGAUGUUCUGGGUCGGUGCUACGCGAUCGUGCAAGAUCCGUAAGAAUGUCUGCGUGUCGGUGAGUUGCGUCCAAUGAAAAAUUUCUAGCGUAAUAAAACCGGACACGGACUGACAUCGAGCGAAUAAAACUUUAACGAAGCUAUGCAAAUAAACGCCUGAGAGAGGAUAAAAGCUGAUACGAGUGUCCAGCGGAAUCAGGUCAUCGGAGGUCCAGACUUUUGUUGAAGAAGGGAUCUUGACCAUAAUCCUCAUCUGUUAGUAGGAUAAGAAAAGGUCUGAAGAUUAAUCAUUCUUAUCACAGGAGAUUCGGAAUUCUGCUGAAAAAAGCUUGAACGUAAUCCUCAUUGGUUUUAAGGACAAGAUAGGGUCUGAAGAUUAAUCAUCCUCAUCACAGGAGAUUAAGAAUUGUGCCAAAAAAAGGAAGGUUGAACAUAAUUGUCAUUGCUUGGAGGUAUGAGAAAAAGUCUGAAGAUUAAUCAUUCUUAUCACAGGAGUUUCAGAAUUCUGCUAAAUUAAGAAAGCUUGAACAUAAUCCUCAAUGGUUGGAUGAAUGAAAAAAAGUCUGAAGAUUAAUCAUUCUUAUCACAAGUAAAAAUGAUACUAAGAUUCAGAACUCCAUUGAAAACAGAAGCUUGGAAGUAAUCUUCAUCAAUUCCAGUGCUAAGAAGGGGUCCAAAGAUUAAUCAUUCUUGUCACACAUAAAAAUAUUAUUACAUAUACUACAAAUUCACAUUGUAUUCUGAGAUUCAGAAUUCUGCUAAGAAAAAGGAAGCUUAAACAAAAUCCUCAUGGGUUGCAGAACUGAGAAGAAGCCUGAAAAUUAAUCAUUCUUAUCACAUGUAAAACUUACACCAUACAAUACAAAUUCACACUGUAUUCCAUGAGUGAAACAAAAUAUAACUAAUAUGCUUAUAUAAAGCUCUAAACUAAUAUCUGGAU